UUUUUAUAUUAUUUUUUAGUUUAUUAUAAAACCUAUGGAAACUUUUAAUUGCUUACCCGGCCUAUUAAAGCUCAAGCCUCUUCACUCUCCAUAAACGAGCUCCCUACUUUUAGAAAAUUUAUACAUAAAAAGGAGAGUUUUUAUCUAAUAAAAUACUCCCCUAUUGAUAAAAAUGCCUUUAUCUAAUUCACCUUCCUUUAUAAAAAAAAACGAAAUGCAAUUUUUAAUAAUGGAUGCGCCUUCUGCUUCCAACGUGGGAUCUUACUUGAAGGCAUU
Molecule: long non-coding RNA, 276 nt
Organism: Zophobas morio
Lineage: Eukaryota; Metazoa; Arthropoda; Insecta; Coleoptera; Tenebrionidae
Exons: 2
Source: RefSeq, a predicted model, not a curated record